This is a non-coding RNA of Pelobates cultripes (western spadefoot toad), 1967 nucleotides long. The record is from the annotation of a GenBank genome assembly. NCBI's taxonomy places the organism in Eukaryota, Metazoa, Chordata, Amphibia, Anura, Pelobatidae.
CUUGUUUGCGGACGAUGUCAUGCUGACACUAACGCAACCCCAAAUUUCACUACCAAACCUCAUGGAAGUCAUUAAAGAAUACGGCCUUAACUCCUACUACAAAUUAAAUGUCGCUAAAUCACAGGCUAUGGGUGUGGGAGUCCAGUCUCACCGGCUGAAACACUUGAGUGAGCUUUUCUCAUUCGACUGGAGGAAGGAUUAUAUUACCUUCUUGGGCGUCCAUAUACCCCCCCACCUACCCCAUUUGUUUAAGCUAAACUUCACUAAACUGAUCAAAUCAUUUACAGACACGCUACACACAUGGGAGGGUAAAUAUCUCUCGUGGCUGGGCAGAUUGGCGGCGAUUAAGAUGUCUAUACUUCCCAAACUCCAGUACCUGCUGCGCACGGUCCCGAUAAGUCUGCCGGGCCCAUACAUGAGUACAAUCCAAAAGCUGAUCGUGCGGUUUGUAUGGGCCAACCGCAAAGUGAGGGUGGCCAGCAAGCUCUUACAAAAACCGAUCAAGGAAGGGGGACUGGGCAUGCCCAACAUCCGUUCUUAUCAUAGAGCCACAUUGCUGACUGCCAUAGCAGCGACAAACGCAGUAGAAGACCCCCCCCAGUGGGUCCACAUAGAAGCACACUGGGCAUGCAAACAGGGGCUGCGACACCUAUACCAGCUGCCAUAUAAACUAAGACCGACAUACACAACCAUGCUACCAACCACGGCAGCAAUGAUUAAAACAUGGGACUCUGUGAGGGCAACACUGGGCAUGGUCGGACCAACUAUAGGGAAUAUCCCACUCAUGAGCAUCUCAGUGGGCAUACCGACGUUUGACCACACCCCCUGGGUGAGAGGGGGAUGUACCCAACUUAGCCAGUUAUGCGGGAACAACGAGUUACUGCCGUUCCCAGAACUGCAAACCAAAUUCUCCCUGCAAUCCAGACACAUAUUCCCUUACCUCCAACUGAAAUCAUUUGUGGCCUCACAUUGCAAGGGAUCAUGUACCGUACCACCAAACAUUGGCGCCUUAGAACAGAUAUGCCUACAGGGCAGUAUACCCAAAAAAAUCCUGUCGAAAUUAUAUGCACUACUGAAUACAGCAGAUACGAACAGACACAGAGACUUUAGAGAAGCCUGGCAGGAAGACAUAGGACACCCAAUAGCAGACCUAGACUGGAAACAGGCAUUCCAAACGCACAAAGGGCACACAUCUUGCGCGACCCAUCUAGAAACAAUGAGGAAAAUUAUGUAUAGAUGGUAUAUGGUCCCGGACAAACUAGCGAAACUAUACCCUGGAAGCUCAGGGGAAUGCUGGAGGAGGUGCGGAGAAAGGGGGACAAUGUACCACAUUUGGUGGACUUGCCCGAUAAUCACUCCCUACUGGGCGAUGGUGGAAGGGGUAAUCACUGAUGUGUUGGGCCGCCCAUACAGCCUGGGGCCUGAACAGGGCAUACUAUUCAUGCAUCUUGCCCAAUGGCACAAGCAGGAAAGACAACUGAUAUUCCAGGUGCUCAUAGCGGCAGUAACCCUGAUAGCCAGACAGUGGAAACAACCACAAGCACCCAGCAAACACGAUCUCCUAACACAAACAUCCACAAACUGGGAAUACGAGGCUAUGGCAAAUAAAUACAUCACAAAUAACCACAUGAUCAUAGACACAAAAAACAAAUGGGAAAAAUACGUUCAGAGAAGCUCGCACCACUCCAGAACUCAGGACGCAUAGGUACGCCAAGACAAGAGUGUUGGAGUAGAGCACAAAAGCCAGAGAGACGAGGAACGUCUGAGAGUUAAUCUGGGAGGAGGUCCUGACACGUAGAACCAAUGAUGCAUUGGAGGUAGUCAGGUAGAACCAACAACUAAGUAGCAUGGGCCCCAAGGGAGGGGAAAGAGGUGCACCACUUUCAAGAGGUCUAUAAACUAACUCUUUUCCCCCUUUUCCCCUUUCUUCCCUUAAUUCUUUCCCAUCCCUUCUCUGCACACCCUAC